UACGAAGGGGGCUAGCGUUGUUCGGAAUCACUGGGCGUAAAGCGCACGUAGGCGGCUCUUUAAGUCAGAGGUGAAAUCCCAAGGCUCAACCUUGGAACUGCCUUUGAUACUGGGGAGCUUGAGUCCGGGAGAGGUGAGUGGAACUGCGAGUGUAGAGGUGAAAUUCGUAGAUAUUCGCAAGAACACCAGUGGCGAAGGCGGCUCACUGGCCCGGUACUGACGCUGAGGUGCGAAAGCGUGGGGAGCAAACAGG
This 253-nucleotide ribosomal RNA is filed under the name uncultured bacterium. RNAcentral's name for it is "partial 16S ribosomal RNA". It matches the Rfam family "Bacterial small subunit ribosomal RNA", at positions 524 to 776 of the family's 1533-position model. The record is from RNAcentral.